This 467-nucleotide ribosomal RNA is filed under the name uncultured bacterium. RNAcentral describes it as "partial 16S ribosomal RNA". It matches the Rfam family "Bacterial small subunit ribosomal RNA", at positions 28 to 507 of the family's 1533-position model. The record is from RNAcentral.
GACGAACGCUGGCGGCGUGCUUAACACAUGCAAGUCGAACGGAAAGGCUCCAGCUUGCUGGAGUACUCGAGUGGCGAACGGGUGAGUAACACGUGGGUAAUCUGCCCUGCACUCUGGGAUAAGCCUGGGAAUCUGGGUCUAAUACUGGAUAUGACCUUUCUCCUUAUGGGGUUUGGUGGAAAGUUUUUCGGUGUAGGAUGAGCCCGCGGCCUAUCAGCUUGUUGGUGGGGUGAUGGCCUACCAAGGCGACGACGGGUAGCCGGCCUGAGAGGGUGAUCGGCCACAUUGGGACUGAGAUACGGCCCAGACUCCUACGGGAGGCAGCAGUGGGGAAUAUUGCACAAUGGGCGGAAGCCUGAUGCAGCGACGCCGCGUGAGGGAUGACGGCCUUCGGGUUGUAAACCUCUUUCAGCAGGGACGAAGCGUAAGUGACGGUACCUGCAGAAGAAGCACCGGCUAACUAUGUG